CCUUCUCCCUUUCAUGUUUGUAACUUUGCAAAAUUAGUAGUGACGACACCUCCCUUCUCACAUUCACGUUUCAGCAAUUUUACAAGAUCAAUGACAGCACCUCCCUUCUCCCAUCCACGUUUCAGCAAUUUUGCAUGAUCAGUGACCGCACUUAACGACAAAAUUUCACGUUGCCUCCUUUCGUGCAAGAUCAGUAGCAGCACAAUCUCCCGUUUCUCUUGUUUUACAGCAACAUUAUAUCUUGCUAUAUUUUUUGUCUCGUCUUUUGUAUGUCAUAAUUCAAUCCCCUUUCACAAUUUUGGUAAUUCCUUUUUGGAAUGAACGGAUCAUCAUGAUCAGCAAGGAGAACCUUUCUUUUCUUCUUAAAUUCUGCUUGCUGGACAGCUGAAGGGUAAUGGGAAGAACUGUACAUUAGAGUACUGGUUGGUUGAUUGAUCACGCUUUUCUGAAAUUUGGUGGUCUAGACAUAUACACGUUUUAAUUGUGUUGUUAUGAUAUAUGAAACUGUAAUGCAAAUGGCUAUAGAUAGAUCUAAGUCUUUGUUGGAAUAAUUUGUGUUUGUCAUAUGUUCUUGUAAGAUUGGUUAUUAAUGGCCUCUAGUUUGAUUAGCUGGUGGAGGGUUAAUUCUCUCGAACAUAUAAUUAUUGUUUGUCAUAUGUUGAUAUUAUUCCUUUGUUUGGCGCCCUUGCAUAGCUAGAGGAGGCUCCAG
This 709-nucleotide long non-coding RNA is filed under the name Glycine max (soybean). RNAcentral's name for it is "long non-coding RNA (GMAX_LNC004560)". The record is from RNAcentral. Lineage: Eukaryota; Viridiplantae; Streptophyta; Magnoliopsida; Fabales; Fabaceae.